AUUGAACGCUGGCGGCAUGCCUUACACAUGCAAGUCGAACGGUAACAGGUCUUCGGAUGCUGACGAGUGGCGAACGGGUGCGUAAUACAUCGGAACGUGCCCAGACGUGGGGGAUAACGAGGCGAAAGCUUUGCUAAUACCGCAUACGAUCUAAGGAUGAAAGCAGGGGACCGCAAGGCCUUGUGCGUUUGGAGCGGCCGAUGGCAGAUUAGGUAGUUGGUGAGAUAAAAGCUUACCAAGCCGACGAUCUGUAGCUGGUCUGAGAGGACGACCAGCCACACUGGGACUGAGACACGGCCCAGACUCCUACGGGAGGCAGCAGUGGGGAAUUUUGGACAAUGGGCGAAAGCCUGAUCCAGCAAUGCCGCGUGCAGGAUGAAGGCCUUCGGGUUGUAAACUGCUUUUGUACGGAACGAAAAGGCUCUGGCUAAUACCUGGGGCACAUGACGGUACCGUAAGAAUAAGCACCGGCUAACUACGUG
This 482-nucleotide ribosomal RNA is filed under the name uncultured bacterium. Its description in RNAcentral is "partial 16S ribosomal RNA". It matches the Rfam family "Bacterial small subunit ribosomal RNA", at positions 30 to 507 of the family's 1533-position model. The record is from RNAcentral.